RNAcentral lists this ribosomal RNA (468 nucleotides) under uncultured bacterium. RNAcentral describes it as "partial 16S ribosomal RNA". It matches the Rfam family "Bacterial small subunit ribosomal RNA", at positions 28 to 507 of the family's 1533-position model. The record is from RNAcentral.
GACGAACGCUGGCGGCGUGCUUAACACAUGCAAGUCGAACGGAAAGGCCCUGCUUUUGUGGGGUGCUCGAGUGGCGAACGGGUGAGUAACACGUGAGUAACCUGCCCUUGACUUUGGGAUAACUUCAGGAAACUGGGGCUCAUACCGGAUAGGAGCUCCUGCUGCAUGGUGGGGGUUGGAAAGUUUCGGCGGUUGGGGAUGGACUCGCGGCUUAUCAGCUUGUUGGUGGGGUAGUGGCUUACCAAGGCUUUGACGGGUAGCCGGCCUGAGAGGGUGACCGGCCACAUUGGGACUGAGAUACGGCCCAGACUCCUACGGGAGGCAGCAGUGGAGAGUAUUACACAAUGGGCGGAAGCCUGAUGCAGCAACGCCGCGUGCGGGAUGACGGCCUUCGGGUUGUAAACCGCUUUCGCCUGUGACGAAGCGUGAGUGACGGUAAUGGGUAAAGAAGCACCGGCUAACUACGUG